AUUGAACGCUGGCGGAAUGCUUUACACAUGCAAGUCGAACGGCAGCACGAGGGCAACCUUGGUGGCGAGUGGCGAACGGGUGAGUAACACAUCGAAACGUGCCCAGUCGUGGGGGAUAACGUAGCGAAAGCUACGCUAAUACCGCAUACGAUCUGAGGAUGAAAGCGGGGGACCUGCGAGGGCCUCGCGCGAUUGGAGCGGUCGAUGGCAGAUUAGGUAGUUGGUGGGGUAAAGGCUCACCAAGCCGACGAUCUGUAGCUGGACUGAGAGGACGACCAGCCACACUGGAACUGAGACACGGUCCAGACUCCUACGGGAGGCAGCAGUGGGGAAUUUUGGACAAUGGACGCAAGUCUGAUCCAGCCAUUCCGCGUGCAGGACGAAGGCCUUCGGGUUGUAAACUGCUUUUGUACAGAACGAAACGGCUCUUUUUAAUACGAGGGGCUCAUGACGGUACUGUAAGAAUAAGCACCGGCUAACUACGUGCCAGCAGCCGCGGUAA
RNAcentral lists this ribosomal RNA (502 nucleotides) under uncultured bacterium. RNAcentral describes it as "partial 16S ribosomal RNA". It matches the Rfam family "Bacterial small subunit ribosomal RNA", at positions 30 to 523 of the family's 1533-position model. The record is from RNAcentral.